UACGGGGGGUGCAAGCGUUGAUCGGAUUGACUGGGCGUAAAGGGAGCGUAGGCGGUUGGAAAAGUAGGAUGUGAAAUCUUGGGGCUUAACCUCAAAACUGCAUCCUAAACUUUCUAACUAGAGGGUGGUAGGGGAAAACAGAAUUCUGCAUGUAGCGGUGAAAUGCGUAGAUAUGCAGAGGAAUACCGGUGGCGAAGGCGGUUUUCUGUACCAUUCCUGACGCUGAGGCUCGAAAGUAUGGGGAGCAAACAGG
This 253-nucleotide ribosomal RNA is filed under the name uncultured bacterium. Its description in RNAcentral is "partial 16S ribosomal RNA". It matches the Rfam family "Bacterial small subunit ribosomal RNA", at positions 524 to 776 of the family's 1533-position model. The record is from RNAcentral.